GAAAUGCCUCCAUGAGAUCCAGCUGUAAGGCUUUUUCUCAAUUAGUGAUCAAUGGGGAAGGGCCCAGGUGGGUGGUGCCAUCCCUGAGCUGGUGGUCCUG
This is a microRNA precursor of Cricetulus griseus (Chinese hamster), 100 nucleotides long. NCBI's taxonomy places the organism in Eukaryota, Metazoa, Chordata, Mammalia, Rodentia, Cricetidae. The record is from Ensembl.